This is a long non-coding RNA of Aegilops tauschii subsp. strangulata, 2141 nucleotides long. RefSeq lists it as uncharacterized. The record is from RefSeq and is a predicted model, not a curated record. NCBI's taxonomy places the organism in Eukaryota, Viridiplantae, Streptophyta, Magnoliopsida, Poales, Poaceae.
UUCUGCUGCCUUCUGGUUCUGUGCUCUCGUAGAGAAAAGCUGUAGGCAAUCAUCAGUUGAUCAUUCCGUCUAUGAUUACUACGUGAAGAUAGGUAGGGGCUCUGGGCCUCUGGCAUGGCAAAUCUGUUUACUAUGCCGUGAGAAUUCGGACAUAGCACACGAGUAACUGAUCAAGGCAGCGAGACGACGACUAAGAUUAUUUGGUCGCAGUACUGGCUGCCAUGCCUUGAGAGUUGAACCGAUCAAGCAGAAUCUGGGCAUGUACUGGGGGAAUCCUUCCGGAAACAACUAGCACCGCAUUUGAAGAGUUAAGCUACUUGGAGACUAUAGCUGCCAGGGGCAAAGAGAGAUCAACAAGAGGCGACCUGUCAAGAAGCUCAUUUGCAAGAAAAGCAUACACAAAGCAAAAAAAUUCUUUCCGAGGGCCUCUUCAAUUCAGACAACACUCAAUCUGUCCCAUAAUAUAAGACAAUUUUUCAGGUAAAUAUAAGACAUAAAACAUCUUAUAUUAUGAGACGGAGGGAGUAUUUCUUAUGCGGGGAUUAAUUCACAUGAUGGAAACAUGAAAAAGAAAGCUGCAAGAUUACAUUGUUAUGUCCACCUGCUUGCGGUUGCAGCAGGAUUAAAUGCGCAUAAGAGUUGUCUCUUCGUUGAAAGCUAAGAGGUGAUGGUAUUUGUCUAGGUCCACAAGGAAGGGAGGGUAAGGCGAAAGAGCGGAGUUCGUGGCAAAUCCAUGUCCUUGCUUCUUCCGAUUCCGAGACCAGCAGGAAGACAAGGCGCUCCGAUCUGACAUUCCCCAAAGGACCACCACUAUCUACGGCCUCUCGCUGUUGAGAUAUUUCCUGAACCGGCCGGGCAAUGAUCAAUCACACUCGGAUCGACCACUUAUGGCUCCUGCGCGCGGGUGGCCGCCGGAUUCCCAGCCGGCCGGACGCCUCGCGUCCACGCAGCCACGGUUCAGCGUAACUAGCCGCCGGCAACUUGUGUAGGUGAAGAAAAAGGGCCGGAUCAUCCCAUGUGAAGCGUAACAUCAUCGCCGCCAACUUGGCGCUGCUGCCUCGUCGAUAGGCUCGUAUGGUCUGACCGUCGCUGUCGUGGCGUGGCGAGAUGCGAUGCGUAUGUAAACUUAUAAGUAUAUCGUGGAAACAAGAUGCAGUCUUGCUCCAAAACAGAUCGUUGGGAACGUCACCCUCAGAUAUUGUUCGUCCCUAAAGGAAGCCCUGCAAUAAUGAGCUUACGCAGCCGUGAAGAGCCACGGCCACCACCAUCCUCCAUCUCCUGCACGAAUGAGACCCAAGUUGCACCGCGGAAGACGGAAAGCAACAAAGUUGAGACAUUCUUCUUGCCCAAAAGAAAGUUUUCCUGCGAAAUUAUUCCGGCCUCUCCCACCUCCGAUGGAGCUGGUCACUUCCGAAGAACUUCGCAGUAUGUCAUUAGCUGCGAGCGCACUCGCGCUGCUGGAUUCAAAGCGAUCGGCCAUGAUGAGAUUUCAAUCAUACAAGCAACGAUGUCACCGUGCGAAUUUUAUUCGAUGCGGCCAAGCUUUCUUUUUCUUUGAAGACGAGUAACAUGCAUGACACAGCACACUCAGAGAGAUUAAUGUACUGAUGAUCAGUUAGGCAUCGGGUUCAGGUAAUUUCCCGAAAGGUGGUGAGGUUCUGCAAAGCAUGAUGGAUGGUGGCGAAAGGGAGACUAGUACUGGCUGCUAGAUUUGGGUACUCGUGGAUGGAACUUGGCCAAGAUUUGGGUAUUCCAAAGGGCUACUACGCCUACAUGCAAGACCUGCUCGCGUAGGCUACCGAUGCAAGGGAUCUAGCUAGGGCCUAUCAAAGAUUUCUGAUAUAUACGCUGACGAAGGGGCAAAACCGAAACCAUAUUGAACAAGCUUUGAUCGCAGAGGUGGUUUUAUUAUGGUUUUAGCAUCUCUACAGCCCAACUCAGUCACAACACCCACGAAUAAAGGUUGGAGAAUCAUGAACUUUUAUUCUUCCUUUUAGUUUUAAAAUAUUCAUUACUCUCUGGUGCGCUUGUGUAUAGGAAUUGUGAGUUUUUCUCCGAUAUAUCGUUUCGGCUUUCAGUCAAUGUUUGGUGGCUUUGUAACCAUGGCGCCAUCUUAGCAUGAUGUUCUCCUCCGGGCUUUG